Molecule: ribosomal RNA, 253 nt
Filed under: uncultured bacterium
Lineage: Bacteria
Description: partial 16S ribosomal RNA
Rfam family: Bacterial small subunit ribosomal RNA
Source: RNAcentral
UACGGGGGGUGCAAGCGUUAAUCGGAAUUACUGGGCGUAAAGGGUGCGUAGGUGGUUUGGUAAGUUAUCUGUGAAAUCCCCGGGCUCAACCUGGGCAGGUCAGAUAAUACUGCUGGACUCGAGUAUGGGAGAGGGUAGUGGAAUUUCCGGUGUAGCGGUGAAAUGCGUAGAGAUCGGAAGGAACACCAGUGGCGAAGGCGGCUACCUGGCCCAAUACUGACACUGAGGCACGAAAGCGUGGGGAGCAAACAGG